UAGGGAAUCUUCCGCAAUGGACGAAAGUCUGACGCAGCAACGCCGCGUGAGGGAUGACGGCCUUCGGGUUGUAAACCUCUUUUAUCAGGGACGAUAAUGACGGUACCUGAUGAAUAAGCCACGGCUAACUACGUGCCAGCAGCCGCGGUAAUACGUAGGUGGCAAGCGUUGUCCGGAUUUACUGGACGUAAAGAGCGCGCAGGCGGUCGUUCAAGUCGA
Molecule: ribosomal RNA, 219 nt
Filed under: uncultured bacterium
Lineage: Bacteria
Description: partial 16S ribosomal RNA
Rfam family: Bacterial small subunit ribosomal RNA
Source: RNAcentral